Molecule: ribosomal RNA, 517 nt
Filed under: Simulium chiharuae
Lineage: Eukaryota; Metazoa; Arthropoda; Insecta; Diptera; Simuliidae
Description: partial 16S ribosomal RNA
Rfam family: Bacterial large subunit ribosomal RNA
Source: RNAcentral
GUCUUUUUGGUAGUUAAUAUAAAGUCUGACCUGCCCACUGAAAGUAAUUUAAAGGGCCGCAGUAUUUUGACUGUGCAAAGGUAGCAUAAUCAUUAGUCUUUUAAUUGGAGGCUGGUAUGAAUGGUUGGAUGAGAUACAAGCUGUGUCAUAAAAAUUAAUAUUUGAAUUUAACUUUUUAGUCAAAAGGCUAAAAUAAUAUUAAAAGACGAGAAGACCCUAUAGAGCUUUAUAUAAUAAAUAUUUUAAUUAUUAAGAUUUUUUAAAUUUAAUUAUUUUUUUUGUAUUUUGUUGGGGUGACAAUAAAAUUUAUAAAACUUUUAUUUUUAUUUUACAUUAAUUUAUGAAUAUAUGAUCCAGUUUUAUUGAUUAUAAAUUUAAGUUACCUUAGGGAUAACAGCGUAAUUUUUUUUGAGAGUUCUUAUCGACAAAAAAGAUUGCGACCUCGAUGUUGGAUUAAGAGUAAUUUUGGGUGUAGAAGUUCAAAAUUUAAGUCUGUUCGACUUUUAAAUUCUUACAU